Molecule: transfer RNA, 86 nt
Filed under: Methanosarcinales archaeon
Lineage: Archaea; Methanobacteriati; Methanobacteriota; Methanomicrobia; Methanosarcinales
Also listed under: 1 other name
Description: tRNA-Ser
Rfam family: tRNA
About the family: Transfer RNA (tRNA) molecules are approximately 80 nucleotides in length. Their secondary structure includes four short double-helical elements and three loops (D, anti-codon, and T loops). Further hydrogen bonds mediate the characteristic L-shaped molecular structure. tRNAs have two regions of fundamental functional importance: the anti-codon, which is responsible for specific mRNA codon recognition, and the 3' end, to which the tRNAs corresponding amino acid is attached (by aminoacyl-tRNA synthetases). tRNAs cope with the degeneracy of the genetic code in two manners: having more than one tRNA (with a specific anti-codon) for a particular amino acid; and 'wobble' base-pairing, i.e. permitting non-standard base-pairing at the 3rd anti-codon position.
Source: RNAcentral
GUCGGGAUAGCCAAGCGGUCCAAGGCGGCAGGUUGCUAACCUGCUCUCCCUUACGGGAGGCGAGGGUUCGAAUCCCUCUCCCGACG